Molecule: long non-coding RNA, 2295 nt
Organism: Gasterosteus aculeatus aculeatus (three-spined stickleback)
Lineage: Eukaryota; Metazoa; Chordata; Actinopteri; Perciformes; Gasterosteidae
Source: Ensembl
GUUGGUCUGUUAUCAUUUGCACACAUUGGAAGGAGCAAAAGGGGCACAUUUAGAAAAUAAACUUUCUUGAGCUCCAUCUGGGGAAAGAAUUGUCACGUUGGUUCUCAUGUAAAGAUUUAGGAUACCAUUAUCCUUAAUGUGAUGCAUGUGUUCAUAGUGCCCUUGAUUCAAUGCCCCCAUAUGAGUGAAGGCUUUGUCCCAAUGUUAAUCCCCACUGCUCUUCACUGCUUAAAUGGCAGUUAUCUCUGAGACCAAAUUUGGACACUGAUAUCUGUACAAUGAUUUGUACAUAUUGGGCAUGUACAGAUGUGUUACAAACUAUACACAAACCACAGGGGAGGGCAGGAGAUUAAAAUGUGAUAAAUGUUUUGAGGUGUGAAAGGUCCGCUGAACUGAACUUUCCAAUUGAUUUUCUUUUACCUGUAGCUUUGCAUGGGCCAGAGGUAGCAGCAACACACGGAUAUACACAGCAGUGUAUCAAGGUUUAUGUAUUAAUAAAACUUACCUUUUUGAUUGACCUGCUAAUUUCACUAUUUAUAUACCACUAGCAUAGCUAUCAGGGAAUCUAAAACCCAAAUUAUGAAGACUGCCUUAUUUUAAAGCCCUACAGUCAAUCCAAUGAACAAAAAAACGUGCCUCAUCAGUCUACAGUGAGUACAAUUUAGUUGCCAGCUCCAUCCUGCAGGACCCUUCCUUGUUUCAUGUCAGUUGUCAACACAUUUUUUUACUGUUGCAACAUGCCAACAGGUCUCUCUCUCUCAUCGGCUGACUCGUGACACUAGCAAAGCCCCGGGUAGUUGGGUUUCUGCCAAGCAUGACUGUCACUUUUACAAUGAGGCUUGACAUCACAGUCCCACCGCAACACUGCAAUGUGUGCGAUAAAGGCGGCCCGUGCCGGUCUGCGAGGGAUAGGGCACGUGAACAAUAAGGACCCCGCUCUGCUUGUUCAGCUUAGCUUGAAAGUUUUUUAAAUGGGCCACCUGCCACCCUGGGAAGGUGACAGUUUGCUUUCCGCCGCCUGUAAUGAUGUCGAAGAACCAACUCUGCCGAAGUAGAGGAGAAUUUUAGUCAGGCAUGUUUUUUUUUUUUUACCUUCCUGCUGAUUCACAGGAACAAGCCUUCUUGGUACAAACACACAACUGCUGCUGUAUUUGAGUGAUUAAUAGAUGUUGUCAACCCUUUAAAACAUGACUAAGGGAAAGAAUGUGGUAGUGGCAAUGAAUGUCUUUUUUUUUUUUUUUUUUUUAGCGCUCUGAAACAAAGAGAAAGACAAGGUGAUACGAAAAGCUGCAUAUAGACCAUUUCACAGUAGUUAACGUAAACAUUUUAAACAUGACAGUGUACUUCCUGGUGCGGUAUGAGGAACUGUUUAACCAUUCUAUAAAGGGGUAACUGACAUUGAAAAAGUACGAAUAAAAUGGUUCAUUCAGGUUGCAGCCUUGCUACAGAGCAUUGUAGCCUAUGAAUAAAGGAAUAAUAGAAAAAAAACAUUUGUUGAAAGAUAUAGUGUCGCAGCUGGAUGGAAAAUAAUAAUCACGGUAGCCUAGGACCUUUUUUUCUUUUAAUAUCUCAGCUGGAGCUAGCUGGAACUUUUAAAUAUUGAACACACGCGGUUUGAGAACAGUGCUGUGGAGAACUCCAUUGUAUUUGGGUCCAAUCUCAUUUUUAUUUAUCAUUUGUCCAAGUGUUUGGACGCUUCCAUCAAAUGCACGAUUCCAGGAAGCCUCAAGUCUGGAUUUGAGUAGAGGUCCUUCACAAGUUUAAUAAUAUCAGAAAUGUUGUGUGGUUAAAAACCUGAAAGUUUCUAUUUUGGGUCUGGGAGAGAAUACAAAAAUUCUACCCGUAGUCCAAAGUGCUGCCUGUUUAGUGUUGUUAUGAAAAGGUACAACUGCAGUUAAGCUUUACAUUCAGUAUCACCCUCCAGCGCAUUGAUCUUUGAGCUUGGCCUUCAAAGAUAUUGCUGACAAAAAUAAUAACCCUAACCCCAAAAUCUCUAAGUAAGCUGUAGCUCUAGAAAGCACCACUGAAUUAAAAGGAGCCUUAAUGUCCAAAUGUCACUUUUUUUUUUUUUUUUUAGCUGCCGGGCAUGCACACUGCGUAUCGACGUAACUUCAGAACAGACAUACACGUGUACUUCAAGUGUGGCUUUGGAUUACCUUCUCCUCCUAUGGCAUCACCAUGAAAAACAGUUCCAGUUCCGGUCUUUGUUCACUGGCACGCUUGGAUGUUUUCUUGUCGGCCGGCAGCCAAACAGCUAUUGAAUUGGCUGAUGAUGGCUGAGCAGCAGUGAAGCAC